UACGUAGGGGGCAAGCGUUGUCCGGAUUUAUUGGGCGUAAAGAGCUCGUAGGCGGUUUGGUAAGUCUGGUGUGAAAUCUCCACGCUCAACGUGGAGGGGCCACCCGAUACUGCCAUGACUGGAGUCCGGUAGAGGAGUGUGGAAUUCCCGGUGUAGCGGUGAAAUGUGCAGAUAUCGGGAGGAACACCGGUGGCGAAGGCGGUUCUCUGGGCCUGUACUGACGCUGAGGAGCGAAAGCGUGGGGAGCGAACAGG
RNAcentral lists this ribosomal RNA (254 nucleotides) under uncultured bacterium. RNAcentral's name for it is "partial 16S ribosomal RNA". It matches the Rfam family "Bacterial small subunit ribosomal RNA", at positions 524 to 776 of the family's 1533-position model. The record is from RNAcentral.